UUAGUUAUUGUAGCAUUUCCGGCUUUAAACUUAGAAAUAUGGUUUGUCUUCUCGGGCGCGCGCUACGACACAGGUUGAGCCAAAGGAUGACGUGAAAUGAUUGACGUGACGUUCUUCUCACUGACGCGUCUCAUCUUGUAAAUUAGUGCUCGAAAAGGUUCGUUUUCACAAUUUAGUGGCAUUUAUGUGCACUCAUCUACAGUAAAUAUCACAGGUUACGAGGACCAUGAUGAGGACUAUAUCAGUGGUUCAUUUCCGGUUUUAAAAGUGCCGCCAUCUUUAGUUUCUUCAGUUGUUGUCGUUAUGGUUACAGGUGUCGUUCACGGGGCUUGACUUCGGCUGUUCGUUUUUAGCUCAGAUUCGGAUUAUAUUAAGUUUACAGAUUUAUUUGAGGAAUAAUAUUAAUGAUAAUGGAAGAGUAAAGCUUUAAACCUCAUGUAUACAGGCCUUUGAGCUUCUCAGUUUUUAGAACAGAUUUAUAACAGGCAUUUUGUUACUGACAACUGACAUACAGCAGCACCAUCAUAUCUGACUCUGGGUUAUAGCCCCUAACAUGAUUUACCUCAAGCAUCAUGAGCAGACAUCAAAGACAGACAGUUUGAUGUGUCCAUAGAUGGGUUCUCGGCUGGUAUUGGGUCUGUGGAGAUGUUUGGUAACUCUUUCCUUCCUGAGGGCUUCAGUGUUUGUGUAAGACCAGUUGAAAGCCCUUCUUCUGGGUGUGGGAAACUGCUCCUCCCUGGACUCCACACUUCCUCUAGUCAAGGACUGUCCGGCCGAAACCUCAGACCUCUGUGAGCUCUCUGCCGCAUGGCCUGCAGUACACGAGUCUCAUCAUAUACAUACACAGGUUUGAUUUGAUAACGCUCUCUUGUAAAAACUUCAUACGCUGUAUAUAAAUGUAUAUACAUUCAGUGGCACACAAAAUACUCUUUUUAAAGUGAAGUCUUCAGUUCACAUCAAAAAAUCAUUUAAUAAUUCAAGUUUUUGUCUUG
This is a long non-coding RNA of Triplophysa dalaica, 992 nucleotides long. RefSeq lists it as uncharacterized. The record is from RefSeq and is a predicted model, not a curated record. The transcript has 3 exons. NCBI's taxonomy places the organism in Eukaryota, Metazoa, Chordata, Actinopteri, Cypriniformes, Nemacheilidae.